Molecule: ribosomal RNA, 302 nt
Filed under: uncultured Salinisphaera sp.
Lineage: Bacteria; Pseudomonadati; Pseudomonadota; Gammaproteobacteria; Salinisphaerales; Salinisphaeraceae
Description: bacterial SSU rRNA
Rfam family: Bacterial small subunit ribosomal RNA
Source: RNAcentral
AUUGAACGCUGGCGGCAGGCCUAACACAUGCAAGUCGAGCGGAAACGACAUCUUCGGAUGGGCGUCGAGCGGCGGACGGGUGAGUAAUGCGUAGAUAUCUGCCUUUUAGUGGAGGAUAACCUGGGGAAACUCAGGCUAAUACUGCAUAAUCUCUACGGAGCAAAGCGGGGCUCUCUACCCUCGCGCUAUUAGAUGAGUCUACGUCUGAUUAGCUAGUUGGUGCGGUAACGGCGUACCAAGGCGACGAUCAGUAGCUGGUCUGAGAGGAUGAUCAGCCACACCGGGACUGAGACACGGCCCGG